CUCUCCGUCCCUAAAGCUCUCCUCAGCCAGCAAGACCACACGCUGCUGCAGCAAGUCAACCAGGUCCUUCAGGGGAAACACAUGGAGAGCAGCUCAGCCUCUGAUCGACAUCUAAUUCAUACUCUGUUCACCUGCUGCUGGUGGAUCCUGCUAAUGAGUUGGUCCUGCUUCAUCCUGAGCUCCAGGUUCAUCUGCUCCUGGUGGAGGAGCUGAGCGGUCGUAGCCUCCAGUUCAUUCUGCAGCUUCCUCUCCCUGUCUCUGGACACCAGGAACUCCCUGUCGAGCACCGCUGCAGCCACAGAGAACAGAACCAAAGUCAGGCUGGACCGCUGAACCAAAGCUGUAGAUGAUUUUCAUUAAAACAGAAGAUCUGCUGAAUCUGUGCCACUUGGACGUGUUUUAAUGAAAGUUAAUGAAAAAGAACAUUUUUUUACUGCCCACAGCAUAAAAUAAUGUUUUAAACCAUAACACUUUAAAUGUAGGGUCGUAUAUCAGCUGCUGACAUUUCUGGCAUUGAAAAACUUUCCUCUCAUUGGAGUUUUAAGACAUUCCCACCCUCCUCACCUCAUUGCUGUGCUCAUGUGGGAGUUAAGUGUCUUAAUAUAUUUUUUACACGCAUUUCUUUUGGAUCUCUGCUCCACAGCCGCUCUCAUCUCCCAUGUGCAAAUGUCCCUUUAUUGUCCACAUCUCGUACUGUAGAUGUGAUUAUUAUGAUUAUAUCUCCUACUGGUCAUCAACAGAGGUUGAUAAAGGUCAGAUUUCUCUCUUACAGUUCCCACACUACUACUAGGCGUCUGUUUUCUCAUCUCUUCUUAGUAUUAUUAUACUAUUCCAUAUUGUGUGCUAUUGUUUGGUUUUAACUAAAUAUACUGCUGUUAUACCUAAAAUGUGCCCCUUAAUGAAGAAAGUCUUGACAGAGCAGACCUUUUUAAUUUAAAAUAUGUAUUAUAUGCAUAUUGUAAAUUUGAUGGUUUACAGCUGGCAAACCUAGUCAUUGAAGUUUAGCACUGU
Micropterus salmoides (largemouth bass) is the source of this 1011-nucleotide long non-coding RNA. RefSeq lists it as uncharacterized. The transcript has 2 exons. NCBI's taxonomy places the organism in Eukaryota, Metazoa, Chordata, Actinopteri, Centrarchiformes, Centrarchidae. The record is from RefSeq and is a predicted model, not a curated record.